GGUGUUGUCUGUGCUUGCAUUCCCAACAUUCACAUGAGGAAUUAUCAAUGGGUUCCCGACAUAAUCAGCCACACAGCAGAGUGAAUUUCAGGAGUGUAAUUAACAAGAGCUGCCUAUAAAUCUACCUCAGAAGACAAAGGGAAAAGCAAAACUCUGCCCAGGAAAACCUUACUUUACAAACCAGCUCAACCAUAUUUACCAGCCUUCCUGUGGUCAUUUGUCUGAGCUCCAGCUAGUGAAGUGUGAGUAGAACAGACAUGCACCACUUCCAGACCUGGCACCGGCAAACCCCCCAUGGCAACCCUCCAACCCUUUCCUCAACAACUGGACCAUGCUGGAAAGGACUGAGGAUCUAGAGGAGGACAGGGCUGUAAUAUGGAAGGAGUUUGGUUUCUGAAGGACCAUGUAGCAGGCCACCUGCAGGGUGGGAACAUCUUUAAUAGGUUUGGAAUAGCAAGAAAUAAACUGGUCUUGUAUUAAACAACUAA
Molecule: long non-coding RNA, 488 nt
Filed under: Pongo abelii (Sumatran orangutan)
Lineage: Eukaryota; Metazoa; Chordata; Mammalia; Primates; Hominidae
Description: lincRNA
Source: RNAcentral